UACGUAGGGUGCAGGCGUUAAUCGGAAUUACUGGGCGUAAAGCGUGCGCAGGCGGUCUUUUAAGUCAGAUGUGAAAUCCCCGGGCUUAACCUGGGAACUGCGUUUGAAACUGGAAGGCUAGAGUGUGGCAGAGGGGGGUGGAAUUCCCAGUGUAGAGGUGAAAUUCGUAGAUAUUGGGAAGAACACCGGUGGCGAAGGCGGCCAUCUGGACCGCAACUGACGCUGAGGCGCGAAAGCGUGGGGAGCAAUCAGG
This 253-nucleotide ribosomal RNA is filed under the name uncultured bacterium. RNAcentral describes it as "partial 16S ribosomal RNA". It matches the Rfam family "Bacterial small subunit ribosomal RNA", at positions 524 to 776 of the family's 1533-position model. The record is from RNAcentral.